GCCUUUGUGGUAUAGUGGUCAGUACGCUCGACGCGUAACCAAGAGGUCCGUAGUUCGAUUCCCGGCAAAGACG
This 73-nucleotide transfer RNA is filed under the name Stegodyphus mimosarum. It matches the Rfam family "tRNA". Rfam says of the family: Transfer RNA (tRNA) molecules are approximately 80 nucleotides in length. Their secondary structure includes four short double-helical elements and three loops (D, anti-codon, and T loops). The record is from Rfam by way of RNAcentral. Lineage: Eukaryota; Metazoa; Arthropoda; Arachnida; Araneae; Eresidae.